Molecule: transfer RNA, 764 nt
Filed under: Bradyrhizobium genosp. TUXTLAS-5
Lineage: Bacteria; Pseudomonadati; Pseudomonadota; Alphaproteobacteria; Hyphomicrobiales; Nitrobacteraceae
Description: partial 16S-23S ribosomal RNA intergenic spacer
Rfam family: tRNA (bases 180-253)
Source: RNAcentral
CUUCAGCGAGCCUCAAGCUCACUAUCGGAUCGUUUUAGAAACAUCAGUGGCCAACAGAUCGCCAGAUCGUUGAGCUGCAUUGGCGGGAUUUCGCCGUCUUCGUUUCUCUUUCUUCGCGGACGAACACGCGCUGGGCCUGCAAGGGCAGGAUCCAGGGUCCUUAACGGGAUAUGCGUUAGGGGCUUGUAGCUCAGUUGGUUAGAGCGCGCGCUUGAUAAGCGUGAGGUCGGAAGUUCAAGUCUUCCCAGGCCCACCACUUACAUCGAGUGAGCAUUCGUCUUCUGGUUACGGGGCCAUAGCUCAGCUGGGAGAGCGCGUGCUUUGCAAGCAUGAGGUCGUCGGUUCGAUCCCGUCUGGCUCCACCAGAUGGUUUGAUCACCGAGGUCAUGCACCGUCGUCCGCGAAACAUCACUUCGCAUUCACUAGUCUGGAUAGACAGUGAACUGCGUGUUUUCUGACAUCGUAAAGAGGAGAUCGAUCCGAGUUGGGUCGUGCAGCAUAUCGUUGCGCGAGCCUUCAUUAUCUCCGGAUCAUUUUCGGCGCUCGCGUCCGACCGCAAGGUUGGCUCACGAGUUGUAAAAUGAUCCUUUUAGCGAAGCUUGACCGCCUCGCUAUCGGAACGAUCUUACGAAGCAAGCUGGUCUUUCUAGUCAAUGUCCGGCUGCAGAUAGCGUUCAUCGAGGGCGCGUGCCUUAGAGAUUUCGGUCUCUUGGCAGUUCUGCAGACAACAUUCUGCCGAGUGUGUGGACAUUGAUAAUGAGAGC